RNAcentral lists this ribosomal RNA (162 nucleotides) under Allium teretifolium. RNAcentral describes it as "5.8S ribosomal RNA". It matches the Rfam family "5.8S ribosomal RNA". Rfam says of the family: 5.8S ribosomal RNA (5.8S rRNA) is a component of the large subunit of the eukaryotic ribosome. It is transcribed by RNA polymerase I as part of the 45S precursor that also contains 18S and 28S rRNA. Lineage: Eukaryota; Viridiplantae; Streptophyta; Magnoliopsida; Asparagales; Amaryllidaceae. The record is from RNAcentral.
AAUGACUCUUGGCAAUGGAUAUCUAGGCUCUCGUGUCGAUGAAGAACGUACCGAAAUGCGACAGUUGGUGUGAAUUGCAGAAUCCCGUGAAUCAUCUAGUCUUUGAAUGCAAGUUGCGCUCGAGGCCAUUAGGUUGAGAGCACGUCUGUUUGGGCGUCAUGC